This is a long non-coding RNA of Homo sapiens (human), 854 nucleotides long. RefSeq lists it as uncharacterized. Lineage: Eukaryota; Metazoa; Chordata; Mammalia; Primates; Hominidae. The record is from RefSeq and is a predicted model, not a curated record. The transcript has 3 exons.
GUGGAUCCUAGAGGGCAGAUCUCUGGCAAGUUCCAGAAAGACUUGUAGAUUCUCAACAAGUUCCAUUGGCACACCACCACAGAAACUUCUCCACCACCUGCCGAGACACUGUGGUUCCCUCUCAGCCCAGGGCUAGGAGGAAGACUCUUCCUAGGACUCCUUGCAUCUGCUGUACCCACCUAUAUUCUUCAGGGCUAUCUUUACAACUUACUAGCCAACCUUUUGCUACUCUAAUCUGCUAUUAAGGUUAAUGAUUAAACAUAUUAAACAUUUCCAUUCAAAUGACUGUGUGGUUUCUCUCUCCUAGUUGGACCCAGACUGACACUCUUGCCUGAGGGCACAGACCAGGGAGCAGCAAUCAAUACUGGACACCAGGCAGCUUCCACGCUUGACAGUGUUGCCAGACCCUCGCGUGGGCAGGAGGGCACAGCUCUCUAGGAGGCAACAUUAUCCACUGGAGCAUCUAGAAGCACAAGUACUUCCAUGAUGGUCAGAGGCAGAAGAGGAUGCGGAGCAGAUGCUCCUCCUCCCGCCCCUCCUGCCGUUGGACAUCAGACUCCAGAUUCUUCGGCCUCUGGACUCUUGGGCUUGCACCGGGGGCUCUCAGGCCUUCAGCCACAGACUGAAGCCUAUGCUGUUGGUUUCUCUGGUUUUAAGGCUUUUGACUUGGACUGAGCCACUACUGGCUUCUCUCUUCCCCAGCUUGCGUAUCAUGGGACUUUGCCUUGUGAUUGUGUGAGUCAAUUCUCCCGAAUAAACUCCCUUUUAUAUACAUAUAUCCUAUUAGUUCUGUCCCUCUGGGGAACCGUAACUAAUAUACCUGGGAAGUAUAAAAUAAAGGCUCCUAGGUCCCA